Molecule: ribosomal RNA, 488 nt
Filed under: uncultured bacterium
Lineage: Bacteria
Description: bacterial SSU rRNA
Rfam family: Bacterial small subunit ribosomal RNA
Source: RNAcentral
GACGAACGCUGGCGGCGUGCUUAACACAUGCAAGUCGAACGGAACUUGUUGGAUCAAGACUUCGGUCAAGUGAAUUCAAGUUUAGUGGCGGACGGGUGAGUAACGCGUGAGGAACCUGCCUUUCAGAGGGGGACAACAGUUGGAAACGACUGCUAAUACCGCAUAAUGCGUAGAGAUCGCAUGGUCUUUACGCCAAAGAUUUAUCGCUGAAAGAUGGCCUCGCGUCUGAUUAGCUAGUUGGUGAGGUAACGGCCCACCAAGGCGACGAUCAGUAGCCGGACUGAGAGGUUGACCGGCCACAUUGGGACUGAGACACGGUCCAAACUCCUACGGGAGGCAGCAGUGGGGAAUAUUGCACAAUGGGCGAAAGCCUGACCCAGCAACGCCGCGUGAGCGAAGAAGGCCUCGGGUUGUAAAGACGUCUGUCCUUAGGAAGAUAAUGAGGUACCUGAGAGGAAGCCCGGCUAACACGUGCCAGCAGCCGCGGU